AUGGAUCGCAUUGUUCCAUCCAACCUUGACGUCCCCAUGGGGAAUCGCUCAAAGAAACGGAAGGUGGCACAUGGAACCACGGCUGUGGUCUCCAAAGGAAAGAAGGCCCGCCUUGAGGUUGGUAAUUUCUCAGUGAAAUAUGUACUUGUUUUUUGGUUGAAACACAGGAACAACUAUUUUCUGAUUUCGCCUUUAACACAAGAGAUAGCCCAACAUUCUCUGUGUAGGUAUUGUUUUGCCAAUGAUUUACAAUUAUUUUCCAGGCACUUCAAACUCCAGCAAGGAUUGCCAAACCUUCGAAGCUGGUACCUCCCCCUCGACCUGUUCCAGAAGCUGCUGUACCAGCUACUCUGGAGGGCGUACCUCCUCCUCGACCUGUUCCAGAAGCUGCUGUGCCAGCCACUCUGGAGGGCAGCGUCUUUGUGCAUUCGAGCAAGGUAAUUUGCAUACAACAUGUAAUGAUUAAACACAUUCAGUGAAUAGAGUGCGGUUCUCUAUUCUUUUGAUAUUUUCUCUAAGUUCCCUUUAAGAAAGUGUAAUUUUGGGUUUCCAUUUCUCAAUUGUAAUGUACAUAUAAUUCUUACUAUGUCUUUGCAGUUUGCUCAACCGGAGGGGGAUGACAAGACUCUGUGUGUUGAUGAGUGGCCGUUUCUUCAAACAGAGUUUUUUGAGGUAAAGGUUUGGGGGAAAAAGAGAGCAUCUUGUAAUCAUUUAAUAUUUGGGUUUUGUUGUUAAAUUUGUAUGUAGCCCCACAAAAUACAGGCGUGCACAACACUAUGUUUGUUACUGUUUUAAAUAAACUACAUUAGCAGUAAGUUCUUUGAACUGCCCACUUUUCAAUUUUCAUACAAUUGUAUCUCAUGAUAAUUUUGCUCCCUUACCUCAUUGUAGAAGGUGAACCAGCCAACUGCUCGGGUUGUCUCUGGACAGAGAAAACAAGAGGAGCCAACACCUUGGGGACCAAAAGUUGUGAUGGCCCAGGCUGAUAAACCAACAGCCAAUGAGACCAGCUUCUUGGGAUGUUCAACCAAGGUAAUGACAACAAUAUAAAAAAUGAUUUGCAAAUAAGCAAUCAAUCUG
Molecule: long non-coding RNA, 1080 nt
Filed under: Gadus morhua (Atlantic cod)
Lineage: Eukaryota; Metazoa; Chordata; Actinopteri; Gadiformes; Gadidae
Description: lncRNA (ENSGMOG00000032737.1)
Source: RNAcentral